Molecule: ribosomal RNA, 253 nt
Filed under: uncultured bacterium
Lineage: Bacteria
Description: partial 16S ribosomal RNA
Rfam family: Bacterial small subunit ribosomal RNA
Source: RNAcentral
GACGUAGGGCGCGAGCGUUGUCCGGAUUUAUUGGGCGUAAAGAGCUCGUAGGUGGUUUGUCGCGUUGUUCGUGAAAACUCACAGCUUAACUGUGGGCGUGCGGGCGAUACGGGCAGACUGGAGUACUGCAGGGGAGACUGGAAUUCUUGGUGUAGCGGUGGAAUGCGCAGAUAUCAGGAGGAACACCGGUGGCGAAGGCGGGUCUCUGGGCAGUAACUGACGCUGAGGAGCGAAAGCGUGGGGAGCGAACAGG